Molecule: small nuclear RNA, 360 nt
Filed under: Nannospalax galili (Upper Galilee mountains blind mole rat)
Lineage: Eukaryota; Metazoa; Chordata; Mammalia; Rodentia; Spalacidae
Description: 7SK RNA (ENSNGAG00000002720.1)
Rfam family: 7SK RNA
About the family: 7SK was discovered as an abundant small nuclear RNA in the mid-70s but a possible function has only recently been suggested.
Source: Rfam by way of RNAcentral
AGCUGAGGACCAUCUGGCUAGACCAUCUGUCACUCCAUUGAUUGCCAGGACUGACUCAGCUGAUCUGGCUGGCUUAGGCAGGUGUCCACAUGCUGCUCCCUCACCGCUUUAUAUGUGUCCCUCCCGAAGUUGUGCUCAUCGUAGGAGAGGACGACCUUCCUAGAAGACCAUUCUUUGGUCAAGGGUAUAUGAAUGGCUGUGAUCCCCCUUGCCAGCGCCUCUAAACAAGUUCUGAUUGACCCAUUUCUACCCCAUGUGAAGGCCCUUGUGUUGGCCUGAGUGGGUGAGUCUUGAAAGCCCCAUUCCCCACCUCCUAGGUUUUCAAUGCCCCAAAGCCAAAAUGGACCCAGCUAUCUGGGA